This 251-nucleotide ribosomal RNA is filed under the name uncultured bacterium. RNAcentral's name for it is "partial 16S ribosomal RNA". It matches the Rfam family "Bacterial small subunit ribosomal RNA", at positions 524 to 776 of the family's 1533-position model. The record is from RNAcentral.
GACGAGUGGUGCAAGUGUUAUUCCUCGUGACUGGGCGUAUAGGGUGCGUAGGCGGUGUAAAAAGUUUUCAAUUAAAUGCACAUACGUGGAACAAAUUGAUCAAACUAUUACACUAGAGUAUAGUAGAAGAUAGCGGAACUUAUUGCAUUAGAGUUAAAAUGCGUUUAAAAACAAUAAGUAACACCAGAGGCGAAGGCGGCUAUCUAGAACUAUACUGACGCUGAGGCACGAAGGCAUGGGGAUCAAAUGGG